GGAGAAAGCUGCAGGCAGAACCCAGAUUGUUUGCACAAUGCAAAGAGAGAAGGUAACUCGUAUACGUGUCCGAAUUAGCCUGGAGUAUAAGCUAUGACCUCGUUUGAGCUUUUGUCUCACCUGUGAGCUUGAACUCUGACUGUACAGCAUUGCAGGUGAGCAUGGCUUUCUUUACCAGUAAGCUUCCUCCUAAACAAGCCUGCAUUCAGGGUUGUUCAUGGUGGUCCUCCUGACCUUUAUGGAUUGGGUGAUGGUGGGGUUACCCAAGUCCAUAUCAUUGACAGUUCUGCUAUAGUUCCUUUUCCCAGCCUAGUUUUCUGAGGCUAGAGAGUACCCAUGUGGGCCUCAAAAUAUGGGGUUUUGUCACGUAGCUGAACUCUGGAAGGGCAUACUUAGGCAGGAUCAUAGAGAGCUGGGAUUCAAGCACUGUGCUUCCUGGUCCGAGCCCCAAUGAUCAUCUUCUGUGAGGCCCCGGGCAUGUCAUCGUAAGACUGGUUGCCUUCAUGAGGCUCCUGAGGCUGUGCAGCCCCAGGGGGCUGGGAGGACAUCUUUAGACUCUGUGCUGUGUGAUAAAUCCUCCACAGCCUGGUGUGAGGAAGUUCGGAGCAAGUAUUUCCCCUUUGGCCGCUUCGUCUGGAGAAAGAUGUGUUGACUUAAAGGCACAGUUGGAGGCUCUGGAGAUGUGUAACUGGGGAAUUCAAGGCUGAUCCGAGUCAGCUCUCCUUACUGUAGGUUUCCCAGGAUGGGACUGAAGAAGGAGGCAGCAUGGUUUCCUCUGCAGCACUCUGUGGAUGGACGGAUGCUAACACAGUCAGUCCGGGGGCGGGGGGCGGGGGGGAGAGAAAUCUGAAGGGAGCUACUCGAGAGCAUAGCAGCAGGCUUUUGUGCCCCUCGAAGACCAGAAGGAAGCAGAAAGCUUCCCAAAAGGUCAAGUUUGCCUCUAGCGAGAGCCCUUCUUAAUUUUUAUUUAUCCUAACUCUCCCUGGAUCAGAGACAAAGCAAUUACUAAUGUCUCCGUGAGGGGUUACCAGUACAAGGAGCUGGUUUUUCAAUCAGUUUUGACACAGAGAUAGAGAGGUAGUUUAUGUUGGAGGCGGAAAGGGGCCCUCUGUUCACUUUAAGAUUCAGAGUGUGGAUCAACUCCAAAGGGGGCCGUUUAAGUUGAAAGAAGCCAAGUUAAGUUUGGCCUCUUGCCUGGAAUCACUUGAAUUCUGAAACUUUACUGCGACAGACAUGUGCGUUGUCACAUUUUCCAUUGCUUAAUCCUGGUUUGGUGCAAGUCUGUCUGCGCCUCUUACAAAGUGAUGUAUAUACUUCCUUCCAACACGUCGAGUUGUAGACAAUUGUCUGUUGUAUUUAAUGGUUUGUAAUUUUCACAUUUUUUUAAUUUAAAUAAACACAUUUUCGCUGAGAAGU
Molecule: long non-coding RNA, 1416 nt
Filed under: Rattus norvegicus (Norway rat)
Lineage: Eukaryota; Metazoa; Chordata; Mammalia; Rodentia; Muridae
Description: long non-coding RNA NONRATT029559
Source: RNAcentral